ACGCUGCCGUAACCCCGCCCCCAGGGAACGCAAGUCUCGCGCAAGGUGGGAGGGCGGGGAAAGUGCUCACAGCGGCUGGCUGUUCCCCGGGCUUUCAAGUUUGUAGUACCCUGGGCGAGCUCCUGUCAGAAGCCAAAUUCCACCCGCCCUCCCAAAAAAGAAGCCAAAUUCCCAGCACCUGGAGUGAGCCGAUGAUCUUGGACAAAUGUAUACAGCUGGCCUGAGGUUACUACAGAGUAAACUCCUAAGGACACCCUUCCAAUGGGGACUCAUCUCUGUUGAGUCCAUAUAUGUGUUUCAAAAUGUCACACUGUGUGGACUGCAAGGGAAGAGCAAGAAGUCACCAAGAAGCAAGCCCUCCCUGUGAAUCGGUGCCAUGCAUGGACCACUGGCAGCAGAGCCAGAUGCCAGUUCCUGUGUGUAGGCUGGGAAACAAGAAGAGCCCCUCCCCCACCAAUAAGCAACCAGUUGGUCCCAAGAAACACAUGCUGUAAUGAUAGCCUAUUAAGGUAAAAUAUAAUUUAAUGCUUGCAGUGUUCAGUGUUUCACUGACUUUGUAGGCUUUAACCCAGUGUUCUGAUCAUCUAUUCAGAGGAUAACAAUAUGCAAUAUAGCAUCUAUGGGGGAUCUCUUUCUGAAGGUGGUAGCCAUUGCUAAUGCCAUAUUAUCUCAUUUUGAAGUCCUGUUUCAUUUUCAUUGUUUUGUUGGACUGGGAUUUGUUCUGUCAUUUUGUUGGAUUUUAUUAUACCUGAUGACAUGGGCAGUUAUUUCAGAGAUAGCAAGAUACAUUAUGGUAGCCAUUUUGGAUUUACUAUUAUCUUGUUUGAAGUCCUUUAUCACAUUCACUGUUUUGAUUUUAUGGACUCUAUUCUGUUCUGUUUUGUUUGAUUUUUACUAUGUCUGCAGGUAUUUUGAAGACAACAAGGAGGCAUUAUUGUAACCACUGUUGGUUUUGUAUGUUUUGAAGUCCUGUGUCACUUAUACUGAAAGAUUGCCAUUUGCAUUGAGUCUGGGACUGUUUCACUCUGGAGAAAUACCUCUCACAAGUGACGGCUUCUCUUUUCAAGAAUGAAGGGAACGAAAACACGAAGCACUUGCUGAAAACUAAAAAUUGCCCUGUGUUACUUAACCAAAACUAAUCUGCAAGGCUCACCACUCAUUUAGUCACAUUUUUCCUUUCAGAGUCUGCAGGACACAACAGUAGUUUCUCGAGUUUAUUUGCUUCCCCUUCCGUGAUCUUGGAGCUCUCGCUUGUCCUGAACAGAAUCCAUGGAAGCUGGAUGUCUGCAGCGAAACUCUGAAGUGGCAGGUGCCGGAAUAGCCAUUAAGUGUGUGUUGGAAUCAAUCUGCUUUGAAACCUGACUCUGCUGUUUCUCAGCUAUGUGACCUUGACCAAGGGCCUUAUUUCUUCAUCUGUAAAACAGCAUAAUUAGAGUACCAGUUUCAUGAUUGUUGUGAGAAUGACAGGAGGUAAUGUAUGUAAACAGUUCCUCACAGUGCUUGGCUGUCAUAGUUUGGGUUUCUCCUGAAGCCAACCCUGAAACAAAGAUUCAAGUUCAAUCAUACUAUAUUUGAGGGACAAUCCCAGUAAGCAUCAGUAGGGGCUACAGAAGUGAAAUAGAGGAAGAGAGAAGUUACAGAGGGGCUUGCCCCACCCGAGGGGCAGGAGGAACUGGGGUAUUUGCCUACUUGUCUGAAGACCGCUAGGGACUUAGCUGUCCUGCCGUCUUGCCCCAUGGACAGGUGGGGUGGGCCUUGGUGUUCAGAGGAGGCUGUGGGCACUUGCUGGCUUUGCAAGUAGGUAGGGACUGGGGUGCAAGGAAGGGGUGAGGGCUAGGGGGCUCUGGCAGCAUGGCUCUUUCAAUACCGAUUUACCCCUUAUGUCUUUUUUCUUUUUUUGUACCGGGAAUCAAACUCACAACUUUGUGUUUGCCAAACAGGCACUUACACUGCUGAGCUAAAGCCCUGGCCCCCUUAUGUCUUGUUAUAAGGUGACUUUUUAGGUUUUUAAAAAAUCAAAUAUGCAUUAAAAAUAUCAAAUAUGCCUGGCACAGCACACAAAAGACAUUUGCAAUGAUCAUUUAUCUUUUUUUUUUUUGUACUGGGGAUCGAAGUCACAAUCUUGAGCUUGCCAAACAGGUGCUUAUGCCACUGAGCUAAAUCCCUGGUCCAACAUUUAUCAUUUUUGUGUUACAUCCUUUCCUUUUUCUUACAGCCAGAAACUCAUCUUAUGUGUGAUAUGGUCUAGAUCUCCUUUCCUCCCAAGUCCCAUUGCAUCUUCCACCCCUUCAUUAUCUCAGGAAGGAGAAAUGUGAUCCUAGCUUUGCAGAAUAUUUGCACCCAGCCAAUGAGGAUGGGGCGCAAUCUGAAGGGAGCCCAGCACCCUAGCAGCAUGUCAGCAUCCUUCUUCGGACUUGGCUGCUGGAGCUAUUGAUUUCUUCUGGUUACGUUUGCUAAGCUAGAAGAUAGGCAUUCUGGGUUACUGACAGCUAUGCUGUUCUCUAUUGAAAACAGGUAGACAGACAGAAAGACCUGAAGGCAUUUUUCCAACAACUAUUUUUCCUUGUACUAUAAAAUAGCAUGCUUCAUUUUUAGUUGGGCCAUUGAGAAUCAAAACUUCAUUUUCUAAGGUAAAGAUGAAGGCUUAUACUUUUAUAUUCCUACCACCUGGUGGGAUGACUGCCUUAGGGAACAUGACUAACAAAUGUUUGUUGGUUGGGCUAGCAUUUCCAUUCUAGGCAUGCGUGUUCUUUACUUCCUUUAAAUUCCCUUCUCCAAAGCUGUAGCAGCCUGCUAGUGUGUAACGACUGUUUUUUCUCCAUCAGUUUUCUUCUGCUCAGUGUCAGUUAUUACCAGUAAUCAGAGGAGGAGGUUAAAGGAAGAUGACCAGAAAGGCUGGGCUAUUGCAUACUGUAGGUGCCAAUGCAGGAUAAAUGCUGCCUGCCACCUUUCGGGGCCUUAUUUCAUUUCUUUAUGUAAACCAAUCAAUGGGGGUAGUGGUGUGGGCUAGAAGAGUUCCUUUAAGGAUUUGAUUUUUGGAGGCUCCACAAUUCAUCAAAUAUGAUUUCAGUCUUACCUGGACAUGGACAUCAACUGACAAGUGGAGAAGAUGAGGAGGAGGAUGAUCAACAUAGAUUUAUGUGGGUCAGUCUUGGAAAUGACUUAUACCACUGCUGUCUACUUUCUGUCAAAUUUAGGGAAGCAUGGAAAAUAUGGUAUAGCUAUAUUCUAAGACAAAGAGGUUAUGAAUUUGGUUAUACACACACUGCUGCCCAAACAUGAAGUCAUUUGUAGUUACAGCAUUCAAGAAAUCCUUAUAGUAGUGGCCAUUAAAACAGCAGAUCCUGGGGCUGGGGAUUUAGCUCAGCGGCAUAAGCACCUGCUUGCCCGGUACCGAUAAAAAAGAAAAAGACAAAAACCAAAAAAACCUCCCAAAAAACAGCAGAUUCUAGCUCCUCUUGGUGGGAAUCUUUGUUAACAGUACUCAUAAUUGUCCUGUUGAUUCUAUUGUUUGGCCCAUGCAUACUUAAUUGUUUCUUUGUCUCCUUCAGACUUAAAGCUGUAUACCUACCCAUGAUAAAAAUGCCUGAUGUCUAUCAAGGGCCUUUAGAUAGAUCCUCUAUAGAGUAUCUCUGACUGCCAAUCAACUACGACCUCUUUCAGUCUGAAGAAGCCAGAUGGGUCAUCGCCCAUUUCUCCCUCAUGGCAGUUUGGGAUACUUAUUCAGAGAGGGGGAUGUUAAAGGCAGCUGGAGUUAAUUAAAUAUUAUAGGCAGUCAGAGAGGGCUAGGCCCUCGAAGGAGCCAGUGCAGAAAAUCAGAUGUCUUGUGAUUUUGAAGGAGACAGACCAACAUUUUAAAGAUUGAUAUUCUAAGUAGGUUUGGAUCAUCUUGGGGAAGCCAGGAGUCACCAUCCCAACCCCUUACAGAAAGAGUCACUGCUCCUUAAGCGUACCAGUUGCUACAUGACUGGCUUCUCCAUUUGUCUCUGAUUUAACCAGUCUUACCUGAACAAUUGAUCUUAUUGGUUAACCAUACCUCUGUCCCACCUCAUGCCCACCUUGUGAGUUCCUGUUUUCCCCCACUUUGGACCCACCUCACCUCAUGGUUUUGCUCUAUAAAAAUCCCUAGAAAGGCAGGGUCCUCAGCAACCCACUUGGGCCCUCUUCUAUCUAUUUCUCAGACAGAACCUUUCUUUCUCUCAAUAAAUAUAUCCUGCCUUAAAAAAGACCCAAAUAGUUGGGGAUUUAGCACCAGUGGCAUUAGUGCCAGCCUGCAAAGGGCAAGGUCAGGAGUUUGAUCCCCGGUACCCAAACAACAAAACAAAACAAAACAAAAGAUCAGCUUAACAUGUUGGCCUGUACCUGUAAUCUCAGUACUCUGGGGGGCUGAAGCAAAAGGAUCUCAAGUUCAAGUUACUUUGGGUGACUUAAGGAGACCCUGUCUCAAAAUAAAAAAAAUAAAAAUGACGGUAUGUAACUUCA
Molecule: long non-coding RNA, 4482 nt
Organism: Cavia porcellus (domestic guinea pig)
Lineage: Eukaryota; Metazoa; Chordata; Mammalia; Rodentia; Caviidae
Exons: 4
Source: RefSeq, a predicted model, not a curated record